UAGAGAGCAGGCAGCAGCAUYGCAAACCAGCUGCGCUUCGCCAAACGCUGCAGUCUGUCAAAGCAGCAGAAAACAAACUGCUUCCUUGUGCUCUCUCCAUAGCGAUGAUUUCAUGGAAUGUGUGUUUCUUCAAUUUAGGUUUCUUCUUAGGGAAAGAACAACUCAUCAGCAGAUCAAAGCACAGAUGGAAUUGCUAAGAGCAGGAAAGAAUAUCCCGUGGAUUUCCAUGGGCAGGAGGAGAGAGCUUACGGCUGGAUCAAUGUCACUUACCUGAUUUGUUCCUUCCCUACGCUGAGAGAAGGCUGAAACGGCCAUACCUUCGUUGCAAUGGGUGCCCGUUGGCAGGAAUCCUCCAAAGAAGACAUGUGGGUCCCUAGAAAUGGCCAACACUUUUGGAGAUCUGGAUCUUUUGAGUUUGAUGCCAAAGAGUGCAGUUAUGAAGCCGAAGGAAGUUUCUAAGUCUCCAUUUAACUGGAGUUACAUUCCAGAACACAAGUGGGACACCCUUGCUACCCUAGAAACUACAAGGAAACUAUCUGGUUGUCUUCUUUACACACCACAACCUGUACAAGGCAGAAUGACCUACAGACACCUCUUGCUGACAGAAGAGUGACCCUAUGAGGCAAAGGAAAUGUGAAACGGUGCCGGGCUGUCUUUCUGCUAUGACUUGCUCUUCCUCAGCAUGACCAGCGAGCAGUCUCUGCUCACUGUCAGCAAGACCAUCCGGAAUUUCUGCACUAGGAGCUAGCAAGAUGUACGUUUCCCACAAUGGGUCACGGGAAGCUCUGGGAAGCUGCAAACGAGUAGUAAAUCUUCUGGGUAGAGUUGCCCUCACAGCCCUCUAAUACCUGCCCAGUCCACCAGCAAUUGUCUUUCUCGGCAUGAAGGGCCUUACAGAGCCAUCCUUCGUCAUGCAAGAGUCAGCAUUCAGCAGAACAUUGCGUCUGCAAGGCAAUUGCCUGCUGCCAGCUCAUUGCUAGGAGCUCAAAUAACUUCCCUUCCUUCCCACAUCCACCCCCAGCUGUCUUCURGCUACCCAGAGGAAAAACCUGAGCGACUACGCAGCUCUAUGCUCUACAGCAUUCAGGAAGCGAAGGCUGGACUCUUAUUGAACUGUGCCCAAAAUGAGCUUGGCACCACAGGGCAACUUCCUCGGAUCAGCCUGUUCACUGUAGAAAUCGCAAGCAGGGCCUGUUUCCCUUCUUUUAACACCAUUACAGAUGCUGAUGCCUGUUCCAAGUGUGGCCUUCAUCCCACACGCUGGAGCUGGGGCUCUGCAAAGGCAGCCUGGCUGUGGGAGAGUUCCUCAAGUGCUGGCUGUUAGUGCAGCUGCAGGCACUCACUGACACGCUGCUUGGUGCAGCACCCCAGGUCAGAAAGGUCCCUGCUAAGUCUUUCUGCCUGGAGGCAUGCCAGGCUCGGGGCUACCCAAGCUCGCUCUCCUUAGUGUGCAUCUCCAAAGCCAUCAGCAGCUCAUGGCCUGGAAGGUAAAAGUCAAGGGGAGUACCCACAAUCAGAAGGAUGGCCUGGGCUCUAUCUUUGCCAUCUUCUUUUUCUUAUGGGAUAAGGGGAUUUCUGUUCUUGUAGGUCUUCAUGAAGACCAGACUCUGAGCCACCAGCACAAGAUAUGUGCACCCUGGAUGCCAAGCUGAGAUUCCAGGAGGCUAAAAGAUCUGCUCUGGAGCUGGGCACACGUUUGGGGAGAUUUCCCAUCUGUGAUUGCUGUCCUGCAUUUGCUGUUGGUUUUGCUCAUGUACUAGCUGU
This is a long non-coding RNA of Nothoprocta perdicaria, 1764 nucleotides long. RefSeq lists it as uncharacterized. NCBI's taxonomy places the organism in Eukaryota, Metazoa, Chordata, Aves, Tinamiformes, Tinamidae. The transcript is spliced from 3 exons. The record is from RefSeq and is a predicted model, not a curated record.